AUGGACUGGGUUCCCUUCUACCUCCUGCCCCUGGUUUUCUCCACAGGUCUCUGUGAUGAUUCUGUGCUGACCCAGCCAUCGUCUGCCUCUGCCUCCCUGGGAGCCUCGGCCACACUCACCUGCACCCUGAGCGGGGAGUACAGCACCUACACCAUUCGCUGGUAUCAACAGAGACCAGGAAAGGGCCCUCGGUACUUGAUGUACAUUAAGAGUGAUGGAAGUCACAGGAAGGGGGGACGGGAUCCCCGACCGCUUCUCGGGCUCCAGCUCUGGAGCGGACCGCUACUUAACCAUCUCCAACCUCCAGCCUGAGGACGAGGCUGAGUAUGUCUGUGGUGAGAGCCACACACAGGACGGCCUGUUCACAGAAGCCACAGUGACACAGACAAAAGGGAAGUGA
Pteronotus mesoamericanus is the source of this 400-nucleotide non-coding RNA. Lineage: Eukaryota; Metazoa; Chordata; Mammalia; Chiroptera; Mormoopidae. The record is from the annotation of a RefSeq genome assembly.